GGGUUGUGAGGUUAAGCGACUAAGCGUACACGGUGGAUGCCCUGGCAGUCAGAGGCGAUGAAGGACGUGCUAAUCUGCGAUAAGCGUCGGUAAGGUGAUAUGAACCGUUAUAACCGGCGAUUUCCGAAUGGGGAAACCCAGUGUGUUUCGACACACUAUCAUUAACUGAAUCCAUAGGUUAAUGAGGCGAACCGGGGGAACUGAAACAUCUAAGUACCCCGAGGAAAAGAAAUCAACCGAGAUUCCCCCAGUAGCGGCGAGCGAACGGGGAGCAGCCCAGAGCCUGAAUCAGUGUGUGUGUUAGUGGAAGCGUCUGGAAAGGCGCGCGAUACAGGGUGACAGCCCCGUACACAAAAAUGCACAUACUGUGAGCUCGAUGAGUAGGGCGGGACACGUGGUAUCCUGUCUGAAUAUGGGGGGACCAUCCUCCAAGGCUAAAUACUCCUGACUGACCGAUAGUGAACCAGUACCGUGAGGGAAAGGCGAAAAGAACCCCGGCGAGGGGAGUGAAAAAGAACCUGAAACCGUGUACGUACAAGCAGUGGGAGCACGCUUAGGCGUGUGACUGCGUACCUUUUGUAUAAUGGGUCAGCGACUUAUAUUCUGUAGCAAGGUUAACCGAAUAGGGGAGCCGAAGGGAAACCGAGUCUUAACUGGGCGUUAAGUUGCAGGGUAUAGACCCGAAACCCGGUGAUCUAGCCAUGGGCAGGUUGAAGGUUGGGUAACACUAACUGGAGGACCGAACCGACUAAUGUUGAAAAAUUAGCGGAUGACUUGUGGCUGGGGGUGAAAGGCCAAUCAAACCGGGAGAUAGCUGGUUCUCCCCGAAAGCUAUUUAGGUAGCGCCUCGUGAAUUCAUCUCCGGGGGUAGAGCACUGUUUCGGCAAGGGGGUCAUCCCGACUUACCAACCCGAUGCAAACUGCGAAUACCGGAGAAUGUUAUCACGGGAGACACACGGCGGGUGCUAACGUCCGUCGUGAAGAGGGAAACAACCCAGACCGCCAGCUAAGGUCCCAAAGUCAUGGUUAAGUGGGAAACGAUGUGGGAAGGCCCAGACAGCCAGGAUGUUGGCUUAGAAGCAGCCAUCAUUUAAAGAAAGCGUAAUAGCUCACUGGUCGAGUCGGCCUGCGCGGAAGAUGUAACGGGGCUAAACCAUGCACCGAAGCUGCGGCAGCGACGCUUAUGCGUUGUUGGGUAGGGGAGCGUUCUGUAAGCCUGCGAAGGUGUGCUGUGAGGCAUGCUGGAGGUAUCAGAAGUGCGAAUGCUGACAUAAGUAACGAUAAAGCGGGUGAAAAGCCCGCUCGCCGGAAGACCAAGGGUUCCUGUCCAACGUUAAUCGGGGCAGGGUGAGUCGACCCCUAAGGCGAGGCCGAAAGGCGUAGUCGAUGGGAAACAGGUUAAUAUUCCUGUACUUGGUGUUACUGCGAAGGGGGGACGGAGAAGGCUAUGUUGGCCGGGCGACGGUUGUCCCGGUUUAAGCGUGUAGGCUGGUUUUCCAGGCAAAUCCGGAAAAUCAAGGCUGAGGCGUGAUGACGAGGCACUACGGUGCUGAAGCAACAAAUGCCCUGCUUCCAGGAAAAGCCUCUAAGCAUCAGGUAACAUCAAAUCGUACCCCAAACCGACACAGGUGGUCAGGUAGAGAAUACCAAGGCGCUUGAGAGAACUCGGGUGAAGGAACUAGGCAAAAUGGUGCCGUAACUUCGGGAGAAGGCACGCUGAUAUGUAGGUGAAGUCCCUCGCGGAUGGAGCUGAAAUCAGUCGAAGAUACCAGCUGGCUGCAACUGUUUAUUAAAAACACAGCACUGUGCAAACACGAAAGUGGACGUAUACGGUGUGACGCCUGCCCGGUGCCGGAAGGUUAAUUGAUGGGGUCAGCGCAAGCGAAGCUCUUGAUCGAAGCCCCGGUAAACGGCGGCCGUAACUAUAACGGUCCUAAGGUAGCGAAAUUCCUUGUCGGGUAAGUUCCGACCUGCACGAAUGGCGUAAUGAUGGCCAGGCUGUCUCCACCCGAGACUCAGUGAAAUUGAACUCGCUGUGAAGAUGCAGUGUACCCGCGGCAAGACGGAAAGACCCCGUGAACCUUUACUAUAGCUUGACACUGAACAUUGAGCCUUGAUGUGUAGGAUAGGUGGGAGGCUUUGAAGUGUGGACGCCAGUCUGCAUGGAGCCGACCUUGAAAUACCACCCUUUAAUGUUUGAUGUUCUAACGUUGACCCGUAAUCCGGGUUGCGGACAGUGUCUGGUGGGUAGUUUGACUGGGGCGGUCUCCUCCUAAAGAGUAACGGAGGAGCACGAAGGUUGGCUAAUCCUGGUCGGACAUCAGGAGGUUAGUGCAAUGGCAUAAGCCAGCUUGACUGCGAGCGUGACGGCGCGAGCAGGUGCGAAAGCAGGUCAUAGUGAUCCGGUGGUUCUGAAUGGAAGGGCCAUCGCUCAACGGAUAAAAGGUACUCCGGGGAUAACAGGCUGAUACCGCCCAAGAGUUCAUAUCGACGGCGGUGUUUGGCACCUCGAUGUCGGCUCAUCACAUCCUGGGGCUGAAGUAGGUCCCAAGGGUAUGGCUGUUCGCCAUUUAAAGUGGUACGCGAGCUGGGUUUAGAACGUCGUGAGACAGUUCGGUCCCUAUCUGCCGUGGGCGCUGGAGAACUGAGGGGGGCUGCUCCUAGUACGAGAGGACCGGAGUGGACGCAUCACUGGUGUUCGGGUUGUCAUGCCAAUGGCACUGCCCGGUAGCUAAAUGCGGAAGAGAUAAGUGCUGAAAGCAUCUAAGCACGAAACUUGCCCCGAGAUGAGUUCUCCCUGACUCCUUGAGAGUCCUGAAGGAACGUUGAAGACGACGACGUUGAUAGGCCGGGUGUGUAAGCGCAGCGAUGCGUUGAGCUAACCGGUACUAAUGAACCGUGAGGCUUAACCUUACAACGCCGAAGGUGUUU
RNAcentral lists this ribosomal RNA (2931 nucleotides) under Escherichia coli. RNAcentral describes it as "23S ribosomal RNA". It matches the Rfam family "Bacterial large subunit ribosomal RNA". Lineage: Bacteria; Pseudomonadati; Pseudomonadota; Gammaproteobacteria; Enterobacterales; Enterobacteriaceae. RNAcentral also lists the same sequence under 1 other name. The record is from RNAcentral.